This 575-nucleotide ribosomal RNA is filed under the name uncultured bacterium. RNAcentral's name for it is "partial 16S ribosomal RNA". It matches the Rfam family "Bacterial small subunit ribosomal RNA", at positions 355 to 923 of the family's 1533-position model. The record is from RNAcentral.
UGGGGAAUUUUGGACAAUGGGCGAAAGCCUGAUCCAGCAAUGCCGCGUGUGUGAAGAAGGCCUUCGGGUUGUAAAGCACUUUUGUCCGGAAAGAAAUCCUUGGCUCUAAUACAGUCGGGGGAUGACGGUACCGGAAGAAUAAGCACCGGCUAACUACGUGCCAGCAGCCGCGGUAAUACGUAGGGUGCAAGCGUUAAUCGGAAUUACUGGGCGUAAAGCGUGCGCAGGCGGUUUGCUAAGACCGAUGUGAAAUCCCCGGGCUCAACCUGGGAACUGCAUUGGUGACUGGCAGGCUAGAGUAUGGCAGAGGGGGGUAGAAUUCCACGUGUAGCAGUGAAAUGCGUAGAGAUGUGGAGGAAUACCGAUGGCGAAGGCAGCCCCCUGGGCCAAUACUGACGCUCAUGCACGAAAGCGUGGGGAGCAAACAGGAUUAGAUACCCUGGUAGUCCACGCCCUAAACGAUGUCAACUAGUUGUUGGGGAUUCAUUUCCUUAGUAACGUAGCUAACGCGUGAAGUUGACCGCCUGGGGAGUACGGUCGCAAGAUUAAAGCUCAAAUGAAUUGACGGGGUCAUA